Molecule: long non-coding RNA, 276 nt
Filed under: Capsicum annuum
Lineage: Eukaryota; Viridiplantae; Streptophyta; Magnoliopsida; Solanales; Solanaceae
Description: long non-coding RNA (CANN_LNC014510)
Source: RNAcentral
CAAUGCAGGCAGCUUUACAGAGUUUAGGUGGUGGAUCUUCUAUUUCAGUAGUUCAGGGUGGUUUUUCGAGGCUAGUUGUACCUUUUUUUGUUGACACUGGUCGUAGAGAUUGUAAUGUGUGUGAUAAGAUUGGUCAUGUGGCCAGGGAUUGUCACCGCUGGGUAAUUCGGUCUACUUCUAUUUCAACUAUAAGAGGUAGGGGUACCACCAGAGAAGCAAAAGGUAGAGGUGGUAGAGCCUGCCAUGGUGGUCGUGGGGCUAUUCAGCCAGUUGGGG